RNAcentral lists this ribosomal RNA (492 nucleotides) under uncultured bacterium. RNAcentral describes it as "partial 16S ribosomal RNA". It matches the Rfam family "Bacterial small subunit ribosomal RNA", at positions 29 to 507 of the family's 1533-position model. The record is from RNAcentral.
AGUGAACGCUGGCGGUAGGCCUAACACAUGCAAGUCGAACGGCAGCACAGUAAGAGCUUGCUCUUACGGGUGGCGAGUGGCGGACGGGUGAGGAAUACAUCGGAAUCUACUUUUUCGUGGGGGAUAACGUAGGGAAACUUACGCUAAUACCGCAUACGACCUACGGGUGAAAGCAGGGGAUCUUCGGACCUUGCGCGAUUGAAUGAGCCGAUGUCGGAUUAGCUAGUUGGCGGGGUAAAGGCCCACCAAGGCGACGAUCCGUAGCUGGUCUGAGAGGAUGAUUAGCCACACUGGAACUGAGACACGGUCCAGACUCCUACGGGAGGCAGCAGUGGGGAAUAUUGGACAAUGGGCGCAAGCCUGAUCCAGCCACACCGCGUGGGUGAAGAAGGCCUUCGGGUUGUAAAGCCCUUUUGUUGGGAAAGAAAAGCAGCAGGUUAAUACCCCGCUGUUCUGACGGUACCCAAAGAAUAAGCACCGGCUAACUUCGUG